Molecule: long non-coding RNA, 282 nt
Filed under: Populus tremula
Lineage: Eukaryota; Viridiplantae; Streptophyta; Magnoliopsida; Malpighiales; Salicaceae
Description: long non-coding RNA (PTRE_LNC002313)
Source: RNAcentral
UUAUUUUACCGAGCUCUAUUUUUCUAAAUUAUGGACACCCUGCUUUAUGCUUUUUGUAGCUUGCCUUUGAAAGAUUAAACUUUAUGAGUUGUUGUUUGUUAGAAAGCGGAAAGUUUCUUGUGAUAAAAAAAUAAGUGCUUGGUGUAAUUUUUAGCAACUUGGCAAGGAGACCAGGGAUGGGGCAAUCUAAAUUUAUUGCUUUGUGUGUCCUGGCCAGUGCUAAUGUGCACCCAGUCUCUUGCUAACUUAUAUCAUGGGAUUAUUUGUGGGGCUGUUAUCAAG